GACGAACGCUGGCGGCGUGCUUAACACAUGCAAGUCGAACGGAAAGGCCCUGCUUUUGUGGGGUGCUCGAGUGGCGAACGGGUGAGUAACACGUGAGUAACCUGCCCUUGACUUUGGGAUAACUUCGUGAAACUGGGGCUAAUACCGGAUAGGAGCUCCUGCUGCAUGGUGUAGGUUGGUAAGUUUCGGCGGUUGGGGAUGGACUCGCGGCUUAUCAGCUUGUUGGUGGGGUAGUGGCUUACCAAGGCUUUGACGGGUAGUCGGCCUGAGAGGGUGACCGGCCACAGUGGGACUGAGAUACGGCCCAGACUCCUACGGGAGGCAGCAGUGGGGAAUAUUGCACAAUGGGCGGAAGCCUGAUGCAGCAACGCCGCGUGCGUGAUGACGGCCUUCGGGGUGUAAACCGCUUUCGCCUGUGACGAAGCGUGAGUGACGGUAAUGGGUAAAGAAGCACCGGCUAACUACGUG
Molecule: ribosomal RNA, 468 nt
Filed under: uncultured bacterium
Lineage: Bacteria
Description: partial 16S ribosomal RNA
Rfam family: Bacterial small subunit ribosomal RNA
Source: RNAcentral